UCUUUCUUUUGUAAAUUGCCCAGCUUCAGGGAUGGCUUUGUCAGCAGUGUGAAAACAGACUAAUACAAUCAUGUAUCAAUUGACUUAAAAUAUCUCUUUUAGCAUAUACUAAAUAAGUGGGUUAGUUUCUGGUCCUUAUUUACAGUACAUUGAUUUCACUGUUGUAUCUUAUAUUUUGCCUAAACUUGUGGGACUUCACCCUUCAAUAGAGUAGUUUAAGCAUUUACUGUCAGUCCUCUAUACCAGUGGGGGAUUGGUUCCAGGACCCCCAGGAUGCCAAAAUCCAAGCAUGCAUAAAAAAUGGCAUAGUAUUUGCAUAUCACCCACACACAUCCUACUGUGUCCUUAAAAUAAUUUCUACAUUACUUAUAAUAUCUAAUAUAAUGUAAAUGCUAUGUAAAUUUUUCUUAUACUGUUAUUUUUAUCUUUUUAAUUAUUGUAUUAUUAUUCUUUAUUGUUCAUGUCUGAAUAUUUUAAAUAUGAGGUUGGUUGAAUUUGCAGUUGUGAAACCUGUAGAUGCAGAGGGCCAACUAUACAUUUAAUGUAAUGAGUGUUAUUUUUUCUUUUAUUUCUGUAGUUUUGUACUUUAUUUUUAAUGUUCUCUUAUUUUUCCUUUACUUUUAAUUUUUUGUUGUAUGGGCUGUAAUUCCUUUUCGUAACCACCUUUUCCUCUAGUGACUUAGAACAGAUACAUUCUGUUUUUGCUUCAUUGCCAUCGAUAACCUAAUUGGCAAUAACAAGUGCAAAACACUCAUGAGUCCUCUUUAUAUAAAAUGAAGAAACUAACACUCUUAUUUAACUUCUUACUUUGCUCUGCCAUCUCCUAGGUUUUGGCUGACAGAUAACAUAGGGCAGUGAUCAAAGGGUUUACCUUCUCUGUGCCUCAGCUGCCCCAUCUCGAAAGUGGGCAUAAUAGUAUCAUAGGGUUAUUAUGAAAAUAAAAUGACAUAGUGCACAGGAUGCAUUUACAACAGUGCCUAGCACAUGGUAAGUCAGCAGUAACAUUGUAAUGAUCAGUAAGAUUGAAUACAUCCUUUAACUUUUUAAAUGAUAAUCAUUACUUUACAUCAUGAAACUUUUUAUUCAUUAAUUACUUUUACAGCCUUAUCUGGGGAAUUAUUUAGACUUUAUGUUUUACUUUAAUAGUUUUCUCACCUACUCUCAAUUCUUUCAUAUCAUAGUUUUCUAUGUGAGGACUCUUUAUUGUGAUCCAUCUACUAGUUGAUUGGAAUAUUUCUUUGGGUAAUUUUAGGUUAUACAUGUAUUAUAGUUAUAUUAAGUUUGUAAGGGCCAAGGGGAAAAAAAUAAUGACUUUUACAAAUUCAGUUGAUUUUUUCUUUCAUAAAAAAAUCAUUAGGCAGUCUGGAGCUGCUGUGGAAGUUUAGUUUCACAGUCAUCAGGAUGCCCAUCUUAUUUUCAUUUUCAUUCCUAAGUAACAAAAUGGCUGCUGCAGCGCCAUCUAUCACAUCUUCUUCCAUCCAGCAUGAAGGAAGAAAGCCCAAAGAAGAGGUUGGACCCUCCUAUUAAGGAAUCUUCCUAGAAGUCAUCCUCUCAGCUCUUAAUCUGGGUGUCUGGUUACCAGUUCAGAAGCCGAAUAACGAGAUAGGUGGGUGAUGCUUCAGCAAUUCAUCCUGGCAUUCUGGCAGGAUGAAUUCCUCUCUGCAGUUCUUCUCUCUAUCUGGCCAACUGCUGUAGUGACCACUGCCUGCUGCAAUAGGGAAUCUUGCUUUGGAGAGAAUCCUCUAUCCUGCCUCCAUUGCCUUUGCUGGUGCCUGGCUUCUGGCCCAAGUGUUCUGUCAAGGCCAGUUGUGAAUUCCACAUGUCUUCUUCUCAGGCACUGCCACUCCUUAUGCCUAGAGGCAGGGGUGGGGAGGAGGAGAAUGACUGUUUUGUGGAAACCCCCAACUCAGAACCGCACAGAUGCCCUGCAGUUCCACCUCUGCAUGGUAGCCAAAGAGAGUCCUCUAAAUGAAGCAAUCUCUUUGAGCCUCUCAGCAUCCCCGCACUUCCAGCAUCACUCAACCCAGAAACAAUAGAAUCUACAAGGGGACUCCCUACAUGUUUCUUAUGAGGUCAGAAUUGCCAUCCUGGAAAGGUGAGUUACAGUGCUGCCCAGGUGAUUCUUGUGUGUUACUCUAUGUUAUAUCUAUUGUAUAAUCUCACAUUUAAAUAGCACCAUUCCUUUUAUUGCAAUGCUUAUGAAAACUUUCCUUGUUUUUAGGUUUCCUUCGUCAGUCCAGGCAGGACUGUGCGGUUGGAAAAGGGACGGAUGCUGGUCCUGGAAGGGGCGUCGUUAUCUAGAAGCUCCCAACCUAAGUGGGUGACUCAUAGGGAGGGCAAGGAGAGAAGGACACAGCAAGCAACUUACAUGUAAAACAAGACGUGUGGGUUAUUAUGGAAGAAAUUCACAACCAAACUUGGGGUUAGCCCGUAUUGUUUUCCAAGAACUCUAUGUGGACAGUGACAAAAAACAGACCUAAGAACUAGCAGACUGGGCAAAGCUUUUUCACAUAACAACAACAAAAAAAGCAAUUCCUCAGGAAAAAAUGGUCAAUGGGUCAUUGUGUGUAGACAAAACUACAAGUUCUGCUCCAGACUCUGGGGAAACCAUGCUGCCAUCUUCAAGCUGUGGCCAUUCUGUAAUACAGACUACGCUAAAUCACAUGUUGUCAUCAAGGCAGAAUAUUUUGUUCCUUUAUGGGUCAGCCUGGGAUACAAAAUUAGAGAAACUUUGCAAUGAAAAAUCCCUUGUGUCUCAUUGAACUUUUUCCUUAAUUCAAACCUUUCCUUUCACAGUUUUGAUUAGUGCCUUUGCCCAUGUGGACAAUAUUUUAUGAUCAGGUUUUAAGAGUAAUCCAUCCAUGGCUGCUUGGCUGCCUGGAACUUAAAACAACGACAACAACAAUGUCCAGAUAAACCCAAUAAAAUAGGUUUUUAAAUGUG
Homo sapiens (human) is the source of this 2943-nucleotide long non-coding RNA. RefSeq lists it as uncharacterized. The transcript is spliced from 2 exons. Lineage: Eukaryota; Metazoa; Chordata; Mammalia; Primates; Hominidae. The record is from RefSeq and is a predicted model, not a curated record.